Molecule: non-coding RNA, 225 nt
Organism: Phascolarctos cinereus (koala)
Lineage: Eukaryota; Metazoa; Chordata; Mammalia; Diprotodontia; Phascolarctidae
Source: RefSeq, a predicted model, not a curated record
CUCCAGGGCGUGGCUUGCAACAAUAAACCUUGGUUACUCAAUAGCCUAAGGUUGUUCCUAAUGUUACCUUCUUCUGGGGAAUGACAGUCUAAGGAAAGAAAGUGAACAUGAAGCCUGAGUGAUUUUAGCCCUGACCCAUCAAGCCCCAUUCUUCCACCUAACUCCAAAUGGACAGAAUAAAAUAAUUGGAAGGCCAACCCACUUCAACACAGGUUUCAAGCGGGG